This is a long non-coding RNA of Triticum aestivum (bread wheat), 893 nucleotides long. RefSeq lists it as uncharacterized. NCBI's taxonomy places the organism in Eukaryota, Viridiplantae, Streptophyta, Magnoliopsida, Poales, Poaceae. The record is from RefSeq and is a predicted model, not a curated record. The transcript has 3 exons.
AGUAAAAUAACGGUUCCCGUGAAAAAAAAGGGUCGCCCGCAUCCUCUCGCACACGCACGCCUACCUGCAUCUCCCCGACGGCUUCGCCUCACCGGCGGCAGGCCACCCCGCGCCCAACUAGCCUCGCCUCGCACCGGAGGCGUCCGGAGGCAGGCCAACCCUCUGCCCGACUCGCCUCGCCUCGCACCGGAGGCGGCCGGUGGCAGGUCGGACCCCCCCUCCCCUCGCUGCUGCCGCCAUCUACCACCACCAUCCUCGCCGCUCCCUCCCUCGCCCAGCCUUAUCUAGACGCCUAACCGAGAGAGGAGGAGGGGGGUUGACAAGGAGAGAGCAGUCAGCCGCCGGCGGCGGCGCCUCCGAGUACAGCCACACCGACGGCCCGUCCAAGAAACCAGCCCUGCCGCCCUGCUGCUCCCAACCCCCCUGAGUCUCAACCUCGCCGCCUAUUCUGGUCGAUGUUGUGAUUGAUAAUAACCAGGAAGAUUUCACCGCUCAGUUCAUCCAUUUGAAUCCUUCUACUAUAAUUAUGUUCCCUACCCUUUCUUACUUAUAGGAAAUUCAAGUGGGUACACAUAAACACGAUCACGGUGGAGGAGAUCUCGACGGUCGAUGUGAAGCUGGGGCGCAAGAAGGGCACGAAUAUCACCUUCCUAGAAGAAUCUGAUUUUUCUGGUACUGUUAUGUGUUUCAAAAAGUUAUUGGGAUGUAAUUUUUAUAUUGACACUAUAAUCUAUGAAGUUAUAUUUUCAGACAUUUCACUUUUUGCAUCAGCCGAGAGGCACAAUUUAUUUUCAAAUAAUUUCUGAAGUAAAAUUUGUGAAUGAACUGCAUGAUGUUUCAUGUGUCUGAUUUGUACUUGAAAUAAAAUAUUAGAUAGCAAGGUCCAGAGGAAA